CUUGGUCAUUUAGAGGAAGUAAAAGUCGUAACAAGGUUUCCGUAGGUGAACCUGCGGAAGGAUCAUUACCGAGUGAGGGCCCUCUGGGUCCAACCUCCCACCCGUGUUUAUUUUACCUUGUUGCUUCGGCGGGCCCGCCUUAACUGGCCGCCGGGGGGCUUACGCCCCCGGGCCCGCGCCCGCCGAAGACACCCUCGAACUCUGUCUGAAGAUUGUAGUCUGAGUGAAAAUAUAAAUUAUUUAAAACUUUCAACAACGGAUCUCUUGGUUCCGGCAUCGAUGAAGAACGCAGCGAAAUGCGAUACGUAAUGUGAAUUGCAAAUUCAGUGAAUCAUCGAGUCUUUGAACGCACAUUGCGCCCCCUGGUAUUCCGGGGGGCAUGCCUGUCCGAGCGUCAUUUCUGCCCUCAAGCACGGCUUGUGUGUUGGGCCCCGUCCUCCGAUCCCGGGGGACGGGCCCGAAAGGCAGCGGCGGCACCGCGUCCGGUCCUCGAGCGUAUGGGGCUUUGUCACCCGCUCUGUAGGCCCGGCCGGCGCUUGCCGAUCAACCCAAAUUUUUAUCCAGGUUGACCUCGGAUCAGGUAGGGAUACCCGCUGAACUUAAGCAUAUCAAUAAGCGGAGGAAA
This 625-nucleotide ribosomal RNA is filed under the name uncultured Penicillium. RNAcentral describes it as "eukaryotic LSU rRNA". The stretch from base 245 to 397 matches the Rfam family "5.8S ribosomal RNA". Lineage: Eukaryota; Fungi; Ascomycota; Eurotiomycetes; Eurotiales; Aspergillaceae. The record is from RNAcentral.